RNAcentral lists this transfer RNA (67 nucleotides) under Xeruca formosensis. RNAcentral's name for it is "tRNA-Asn". The record is from RNAcentral. Lineage: Eukaryota; Metazoa; Arthropoda; Malacostraca; Decapoda; Ocypodidae.
UUGAUAGAAACCAAAAUAGAGGUAUAUCACUGUUAAUGAUAAAAUUGAAACUACUUUUCCUAUCAAG